AGGUUACUGUGUAGGAUGGUGUUCAAGGUUACUGUGUAGGCUGUGGUCAAGGUUACUGUGUAGGCUGUGGUCAA
This is a long non-coding RNA of Haliotis rufescens (red abalone), 74 nucleotides long. RefSeq lists it as uncharacterized. Lineage: Eukaryota; Metazoa; Mollusca; Gastropoda; Lepetellida; Haliotidae. The record is from RefSeq and is a predicted model, not a curated record. The transcript has 3 exons.